This 1245-nucleotide long non-coding RNA is filed under the name Elaeis guineensis (African oil palm). RNAcentral describes it as "long non-coding RNA (EGUI_LNC032744)". The record is from RNAcentral. Lineage: Eukaryota; Viridiplantae; Streptophyta; Magnoliopsida; Arecales; Arecaceae.
CACACACACACAUACAUACAUACAUAUGAGUUAAUUGAGAGAUUGUUAUUUUUGAACCUUUGCUUUUUGCUACUUUCACACAACAAGUGCAACUUUCUUAAUUCAAGGAGUGAGAAUUGUUACAACAGCUAAUAUUGAGCAUAUGCUUCAUGGAUCAUAAUAUGACUGGAAUUUCUUUUGAAAAAAAAUGAUGGGCCUACAUAUUUACAUGGAUGCUUAAACAGGAAUGAAAGGUGAGGGAGAAGUAUAUCAUCUACAACCCUAGUUGUAAGAAAUCUGUAGUCUUAAGAUAUUACCAAUAUUAUGAAUUGAAUGAUAACAUCAAAAAGCCUUCAUCUCCCAUCCAACCAUGUUGCAACAUGCUCAUGUCAUUAGAACUUCUUGUGGCUGGAGUUGUAGAUGAACUCAAUCAUUGUUGGUUGACAGCGGCUUCACAGAAAAAUAAUUUAGUUAGUGAGUUUUGAAGAGAAACAACUUUUGGAAGAAUGAGACACCUUUUAGCCAUGUGUAUUAAGGACCUAAUCAAUGCUCAACUUCCUGCUGCUCUAUCUCUUUCUUUUCCUUUAUAUAAACAAAACUUACUGGUAAACUACUUCUAGGAGAAAAUAAGGGAAAAAAUUUAGGAUAGAAGGCCACCACCUCAACCAUAUACAUUUAUACGAAGAAUUCUCCUACACCAGCUACUUUUCAUUCAUCCAACUCUUCUGCUUCUUGUAUGAGGCCAUCUUCAAUGCUUUCAACAAAUACAAUCCAUCCUCAUAAAUCUACAACUAAACACACUGAUUAGGAAUACAAUGUCAAGGAUUUUCAUGCUCGUGACAACAAUAGAAGGAGGACUUCCAUCGAUAAAGGGGCCACCAGGUUAGAAAGCUACAAAGAAAGUAUUUUGAAUGUUUUUUUCUUUUAUUAACUCUAAAAUAUGUCAACAGACAUCAAAGGACACGAAGGUAUGAAGCUCAAUUAUGGGACAAAGAUGGUUUGAAUAACAACCAAAACAAAAAGGGAAAACAUGGUAAAAAACCAAACCACAACAUGAAAAGGAGAGAGAGAAUAUUUUUUAUAAAUUUUGAUAACAAUGUUUAUUUCUUUAACUUGCUAUUUUGUGACUAUUUUGUGCUAAUUGUUCUCAUAUGUGGGCCACCUGAUGGUGAUCUAAAUUUCUGAUCUCUGUGCUAAAUAUUGUUUAAUUGGAUAAAUCACCGACCUUUCUUUCAGCAAUAUCAUGUUAAUAAUACACACACACAC